This 253-nucleotide ribosomal RNA is filed under the name uncultured bacterium. RNAcentral's name for it is "partial 16S ribosomal RNA". It matches the Rfam family "Bacterial small subunit ribosomal RNA", at positions 524 to 776 of the family's 1533-position model. The record is from RNAcentral.
UACGUAGGGGGCGAGCGUUGUCCGGAAUCAUUGGGCGUAAAGCGCGUGUAGGCGGCUUGGUAAGUCCGGUGUGAGACCUUGGGGCUCAACCCCAAGCCUGCACUGGAUACUGCCUCGCUUGAGUCCGGGAGGGGAGAGCGGAAUUCCUAGUGUAGCGGUGAAAUGCGCAGAUAUUAGGAAGAACACCGGUGGCGAAGGCGGCUCUCUGGAACGGUACUGACGCUGAGACGCGAAAGCGUGGGGAGCGAACAGG